RNAcentral lists this ribosomal RNA (372 nucleotides) under uncultured organism. RNAcentral describes it as "bacterial SSU rRNA". It matches the Rfam family "Bacterial small subunit ribosomal RNA", at positions 526 to 896 of the family's 1533-position model. The record is from RNAcentral.
CGAAGGGUGCAAGCGUUACUCGGAAUUACUGGGCGUAAAGCGUGCGUAGGUGGUUUGUUAAGUCUGAUGUGAAAGCCCUGGGCUCAACCUGGGAAUGGCAUUGGAUACUGGCGAGCUAGAGUGCGGUAGAGGGUAGUGGAAUUCCCGGUGUAGCAGUGAAAUGCGUAGAGAUCGGGAGGAACAUCUGUGGCGAAGGCGACUACCUGGACCAGCACUGACACUGAGGCACGAAAGCGUGGGGAGCAAACAGGAUUAGAUACCCUGGUAGUCCACGCCCUAAACGAUGCGAACUGGAUGUUGGGAGCAAUUAGGCUCUCAGUAUCGAAGCUAACGCGUUAAGUUCGCCGCCUGGGGAGUACGGUCGCAAGACUG